Molecule: ribosomal RNA, 231 nt
Filed under: uncultured bacterium
Lineage: Bacteria
Description: partial 16S ribosomal RNA
Rfam family: Bacterial small subunit ribosomal RNA
Source: RNAcentral
UGGGUGAUCUGCCCUGCACUUUGGGAUAAGCCUGGGAAACUGGGUCUAAUACCGAAUACACCUCCUUUCGCAUGAUCGGAGGUGGAAAGCUCCGGCGGAGAAGGAUGAGCUCGCAGCCUAUCAGCUAGUUGGUGUGGGUAAUGGCCUACCAAGGCGACGACGGGUAGCCGGCCUGAGAGGGUGACCGGCCACACUGGGACUGAGACACCGGCCCAGACCUCCGUACGGGGA